UCCAGACUCCUACGGGAGGCAGCAGUGGGGAAUAUUGCACAAUGGGGGAAACCCUGAUGCAGCAACGCCGCGUGAGUGAAGAAGUCAUUCGUGAUGUAAAGCUCUAUCAGCAGGGAAGAAAAUGACGGUACCUGAGUAAGAAGCCCCGGCUAACUACGUGCCAGCAGCCGCGGUAAUACGUAGGGGGCAAGCGUUAUCCGGAUUUACUGGGUGUAAAGGGAGCGUAGACGGAAAGGCAAGUCAGAAGUGAAAGCCCAAGGCUCAACCAUGGGACUGCUUUUGGAACUGUGUGGCUGGAGUGUCGGAGAGGCAGGCGGAAUUCCUAGUGUAGCGGUGAAAUGCGUAGAUAUUAGGAGGAACACCAGUGGCGAAGGCGGCCUGCUGGACCGCGACUGACGUUGAGGCUCGAAAGCGUGGGGAGCGAACAGGAUUAGAUACCCGUGUAA
Molecule: ribosomal RNA, 446 nt
Filed under: uncultured bacterium
Lineage: Bacteria
Description: bacterial SSU rRNA
Rfam family: Bacterial small subunit ribosomal RNA
Source: RNAcentral